This 506-nucleotide ribosomal RNA is filed under the name uncultured bacterium. RNAcentral describes it as "partial 16S ribosomal RNA". It matches the Rfam family "Bacterial small subunit ribosomal RNA", at positions 28 to 523 of the family's 1533-position model. The record is from RNAcentral.
GGUGAACGCUGGCGGCAGGCCUAACACAUGCAAGUCGGACGGUAGCACAGAGGAGCUUGCUCCUUGGGUGACGAGUGGCGGACGGGUGAGUAAUGUCUGGGGAUCUGCCCGAUAGAGGGGGAUAACCACUGGAAACGGUGGCUAAUACCGCAUAACGUCGCAAGACCAAAGAGGGGGACCUUCGGGCCUCUCACUAUCGGAUGAACCCAGAUGGGAUUAGCUAGUAGGCGGGGUAAUGGCCCACCUAGGCGACGAUCCCUAGCUGGUCUGAGAGGAUGAACAGCCACACGGGAACUGAGACACGGUCCAGACUCCUACGGGAGGCAGCAGUGGGGAAUAUUGCACAAUGGGCGCAAGCCUGAUGCAGCCAUGCCGCGUGUAUGAAGAAGGCCUUCGGGUUGUAAAGUACUUUCAGCGGGGAGGAAGGCGGUGCGGUUAAUAACCGCACCGAUUGACGUUACCCGCAGAAGAAGCACCGGCUAACUCCGUGCCAGCCGCCGCCGUAA